GGUGCGGUGAGGGGCGGGGCGACGCUGACCAGGGAGGAGCUGCCUACUUCGUGCUGCAGGUGAUCGCGAGAGAUUAGCGACACAUUCGCAGAUGACACACGCGCAGGUCUGCUCCGUAACCGCUCUACAUUACGCUGCUCGACGUGAACGAUUCACCGCCGCGCUUCGUCAGGGGGCGCCACGUGGCUACGGUGGUUGAGAACAUUGCUACGGACAGCGCGAUCGUCACGGUGACGGCGAAGGAUGCUGACGACGGCGUCAAACGCUGAGCUACGAUACUCCACCUAGACGCUGACCGCCUGAGGGGGAAGUGAUAAACGAUCGAUCCUGUCACUUCGGCGUCAUCCGUC
Priapulus caudatus is the source of this 350-nucleotide long non-coding RNA. RefSeq lists it as uncharacterized. The record is from RefSeq and is a predicted model, not a curated record. The transcript is spliced from 3 exons. NCBI's taxonomy places the organism in Eukaryota, Metazoa, Priapulida, Priapulimorpha, Priapulimorphida, Priapulidae.